This 270-nucleotide ribosomal RNA is filed under the name uncultured bacterium. RNAcentral describes it as "partial 16S ribosomal RNA". The record is from RNAcentral.
CUGCUGCCUCCCGUAGGAGUCUGGUCCGUGUCUCAGUACCAGUGUGGGGGACCUUCCUCUCAGAACCCCUACGCAUCGUCGCCUCGGUGGGCCGUUACCCCGCCGACUAGCUAAUGCGCCGCAUGCCCAUCCGUAGCCGGAAUCGCUUCCUUUAAUCCCUCAGGAAUGCCCCCGAAAGAUAUUACGCGGUAUUAGACGGAAUUUCUUCCGCUUAUCCCCCUGCUACGGGCAGGUCGCAUACGUGUUACUCACCCGUGCGCCGGUCGCCGU